CUACGGGGGGCUGCAGUGAGGAAUAUUGCACAAUGGGGGGAACCCUGAUGCAGCAACGCCGCGUGGAGGAUGACGCAUUUCGGUGUGUCCACUCCUUUUAUAUGUCAAGAAAAUGACGGUAGCAUAUGAAUAAGCACCGGCUAACUCCGUGCCAGCAGCCGCGGUAAUACGGAGGGUGCAAGCGUUACUCGGAAUCACUGGGCGUAAAGGACGCGUAGGCGGGUUGGAAAGUCAGGUGUGAAAUCCUACAGCUUAACUGUAGAACUGCACUUGAAACUUCUAAUCUAGAGUAUGGGAGGGGGAGAUGGAAUUAGUGGUGUAGGGGUAAAAUCCGUAGAUAUCACUAGGAAUACCUAAAGCGAAGGCGAUCUCCUGGAACAUUACUGACGCUAAGGCGUGAAAGCGUGGGGAGCAAACAGGAUUAGAUACCCCUGUAGUC
This 439-nucleotide ribosomal RNA is filed under the name uncultured bacterium. Its description in RNAcentral is "partial 16S ribosomal RNA". It matches the Rfam family "Bacterial small subunit ribosomal RNA", at positions 339 to 795 of the family's 1533-position model. The record is from RNAcentral.